UGGGGAAUUUUGGACAAUGGGCGAAAGCCUGAUCCAGCAAUGCCGCGUGUGUGAAGAAGGCCUUCGGGUUGUAAAGCACUUUUGUCCGGAAAGAAAUCCUUGGCUCUAAUACAGUCGGGGGAUGACGGUACCGGAAGAAUAAGCACCGGCUAACUACGUGCCAGCAGCCGCGGUAAUACGUAGGGUGCAAGCGUUAAUCGGAAUUACUGGGCGUAAAGCGUGCGCAGGCGGUUUGCUAAGACCGAUGUGAAAUCCCCGGGCUCAACCUGGGAACUGCAUUGGUGACUGGCAGGCUAGAGUAUGGCAGAGGGGGGUAGAAUUCCACGUGUAGCAGUGAAAUGCGUAGAGAUGUGGAGGGAAUACCGAUGGCGAAGGCAGCCCCCUGGGCCAAUACUGACGCUCAUGCACGAAAGCGUGGGGAGCAAACAGGAUUAGAUACCCUGGUAGUCCACGCCCUAAACGAUGUCAACUAGUUGUUGGGGAUUCAUUUCCUUAGUAACGUAGCUAACGCGUGAAGUUGACCGCCUGGGGAGUACGGUCGCAAGAUUAAAACUUAAAGGAAUUGACGGGGUCAUAGCUG
Molecule: ribosomal RNA, 580 nt
Filed under: uncultured bacterium
Lineage: Bacteria
Description: partial 16S ribosomal RNA
Rfam family: Bacterial small subunit ribosomal RNA
Source: RNAcentral